Molecule: unclassified non-coding RNA, 355 nt
Filed under: Hevea brasiliensis (rubber tree)
Lineage: Eukaryota; Viridiplantae; Streptophyta; Magnoliopsida; Malpighiales; Euphorbiaceae
Source: RNAcentral
AAAGCCAUCUCAUAAACUCUUGGCGUCUUUACAGGUUUUUAAAUUCCAUCUGGGCUUUGAAUGAUUCCCAUAUGCUAAAAAAGCAUAUAUCAGAUUUGCAAUUUAAUUGCAUACUUAGGUGACUGGUUGGUUGGUUUCAAGCCUUCAAGGCUACUUACAGAACUAUCAUUUGGGACCUUCUCCAUCAAAGAGAGCUAUUUGAAACGAGAAUGUCUGCAUCAGUCCAAUCCCCGACACGCUUCUCACUUGCCUGAACUCUUACAAUCCGAUCAGAUACACGGUGGUUAAAUGGAUCAUCGGAGUUUGACUCCACUAGCAAUGGAUCCCAGUAGAACUCGAUCGAUGCAUUAUAUUG